UGGGGAAUAUUGGACAAUGGGCGAAAGCCUGAUCCAGCCAUGCCGCGUGUGUGAAGAAGGUCUUCGGAUUGUAAAGCACUUUAAGUUGGGAGGAAGGGCAGUAAGCGAAUACCUUGCUGUUUUGACGUUACCGACAGAAUAAGCACCGGCUAACUCUGUGCCAGCAGCCGCGGUAAUACAGAGGGUGCAAGCGUUAAUCGGAAUUACUGGGCGUAAAGCGCGCGUAGGUGGUUCGUUAAGUUGAAUGUGAAAGCCCCGGGCUCAACCUGGGAACUGCAUGCAGAACUGGCGAGCUAGAGUAGGGCAGAGGGUGGUGGAAUUUCCUGUGUAGCAGUGAAAUGCGUAGAUAUAGGAAGGAACACCAGUGGCGAAGGCGACCACCUGGGCUCAUACUGACACUGAGGUGCGAAAGCGUGGGGAGCAAGCAGG
This 429-nucleotide ribosomal RNA is filed under the name Pseudomonadota bacterium. RNAcentral's name for it is "Proteobacteria bacterium partial 16S ribosomal RNA". It matches the Rfam family "Bacterial small subunit ribosomal RNA", at positions 355 to 776 of the family's 1533-position model. The record is from RNAcentral. Lineage: Bacteria; Pseudomonadati; Pseudomonadota.